This 2544-nucleotide long non-coding RNA is filed under the name Phoenix dactylifera (date palm). RNAcentral describes it as "long non-coding RNA (PDAC_LNC005705)". The record is from RNAcentral. Lineage: Eukaryota; Viridiplantae; Streptophyta; Magnoliopsida; Arecales; Arecaceae.
UGAGGGAGAGGGAGAGGGAGAGGUGCAAGUCGUCGGGGGUAGUCGGGAGAUUUGGAGGAGGGGCGGGAGAAGAAGAAACCCAUCUUGCCAGCAAGGAAGUUGAAGGAUCGAAGCUUUCCAUGAAAGCAAAAAGUGGGAGAGAGAGAGAGAGGGUGGGGGACAAAGCUGACUAUUUUCUCUCNNNNNNNNNNNNNNNNNNNNAAGGAAGUUGAGGAUCGAAGCUUUCCAUGAAAGCAAAAGUAGGAGGAGAGAGAGAGAGAGUGGGGGGCCAAAGCUGACAUUUUUCUCUCUUCGAUUUUUGGGGGAGUUGGGUCUCGCCCUUAUUAAUGCCUCCCAUUGGAAGUGAGAGAGGAUUGAAAUCGUGAGAGAGGUGUGGCUUUUUUCUCCUAUUUUUUGGGGUUGUUCUUUCCCCGUCUAGCUUUGCUCUGUGUUUUUGGAUUGGAGAGGGGUGAGCAAGGUGAUGCGUUGGGGACAAUGUCGGGCUCGCCUUCUCUGUCCGCGGAGAAGAAACACUAGCGGCUGAGCAACAAGCAAGUGAGUGAAAGGUUUCAGCCUUCUCUUGGUUUUCUCAGGAUUUUUGGCUCAGGCAUGGAGGUUUUGGGAUCGGGUUGAAGCCAUUGGUCUUUUUCUUUGAGAGAACUCAGCCAUUGGUCUUUAUCCCAAGCUUCCUGCUUACUGCAUAUUUCUUUUGGAACUAAUCCUUGCAUCUGGAAUUUGCUAGUUAAAUAGAAGUUACUGUUCCUUUUUGCCUCUUCUAUGAGACGAACUUUCACUAAAUUAAUUUCUUAAAUUCAAGAAAGGUUGUAAAAAAUGUGAUCUUUUCAGGUUGAUUUGGUUUGUGUUAGGGUAUUUGGGGAUCCGACCCGGACCCGGACUCGACCCGAACAUGACCCGACCCGAACCUAAAUUUUUUGGGUCGGGUCUGGGUUAUACAUGGAUCUGACUCGACCCGAAUGACCCAUUGGGUCUUGUAAGCCUGAACCCGACCCAACCCGAUCUUCAACUGGGUUGGGUAUGUGUCCAAAAUAAGGACCCGAACAAGAAACUGGGUCGGGUGAGUGACCCGACCCGACCCAUUUUGCACCCCUACCCAUUCAUGACAAAGUACCUAUCUAUAUUUACUAGAAAUUAUGUUUGUGAAAAAUAUAAUACAAAGUUAAAAGGUCAAAAUUAAAUAAUUGCAAGCUCAAACAACCUAAUAACGACAAGCAUAUUGAAUAUGGUCAAUAAGAUGUCAAUAGCACAUAUCUGCCUGCUAUGAGUCCGAAAAAGAACAAAAAGGUACGAUGCAAUAAUUAUCAAGGAAAAAAAAAGACGCAUGAAAGAAGUAGACAUAAAACAUAAUAGAUUAAAAUGGAAGGAAAAGGAUAAAGAGCACACAGACAUAUCGGUAACCUUUCCAAGAAAAGGUUGCAUAUUAAGCAAUAACAUGAAACGUGUAAGCUAAGAGCAUAAGCAUCUGCACAUGGCACACAGUAGGUAAUCCAUUACUAAAUCAACAAGGUUGACCAUCUAUCUUGAUUCUUGAAUUAACUUUAUCCAUCCUAUUUCACCAUUCGUGCUAUUGUAUCAACAAUAAUUGUGUCUUCAAAUAAUUUCUUGCAACUUAAUAUUUAUAUCAUGCAAUCACAUUGCCAAGCUCUCCUCUAUUACAUGGAAUAUUCUCUUUAAAUGGGUCAUCUUUGUCCUCAACAAGGACACUCGUGAUGCCUCAAGAAGCUGUCUGUCACUUAUCCUAUGUUUGUCUCCCAGCUAAGUAUGACAUUUCGUGCAAUUUGAAUGUCUAGACUUAAAUUCAAACAUCUACAAUUUAAGAUAACAAAAAAAACACCCUGAUUGCAAUGACCUUGACAAGUAAUCAAGUUUAAAAAAGCUAUAAAUUAACACCAAGUGAAGAAUUGGGAAAAAUAAUAAAAAAUACUUAGAAAACAUGGUGCUACACUGACUUUAAAAAAAAUGAUAUUUACCAUGAUAGAAACAAAGGUCAUGACACAAAUGUACAAACUAAGAACUUGGGAGACUAAAAGCACAUAAAAAAGACAAAGUUACAAGAUACGGUUAGAUUUCUCAGAGAAUGACUUCCAUUAGUAUAACAACUAAGAUGACGAACAGUGAUAUGAUGAAUAUUAGAAAAAAGAAACUUGCGUAAUUUAGAAGUAAUGGUUUUAGCAGUGUCCUUACUGAAGAUAAAAACUAUCAUCAAAUGAACAAUUUAAUAUUCUAAUGAAGACGACAAAGAUAUUCAAGCUUUUAGUUGAUGCCAAUCAUUUAUAAUUGUGGUUAUAUCAGGUUCAGAUGACAUAGCAAGAACAAAUAUUUACUUUGAAUAAAUUUGUGCAAUAGGCAAGAAGAAGCAUGAAACGAAUCCCAGCUGAACUUCUUACGACGGCUAUAUUAGUAGAUAUACUUGGCAAUAUAUAAAUGUGGAGGAUCACUAGAUCACCAAAGGCCCAACAUCAAAAUCUUUGUUGAUGCAGCCAGCAUAAUGACAAAUUGUCCAAUUUUCAAGACAAAAUGGUGAUAAAGGUCAAUCCAACCAUAAAU